UACGUAGGGUGCGAGCGUUAAUCGGAAUUACUGGGCGUAAAGCGUGCGCAGGCGGUUGUGUAAGACAGGUGUGAAAUCCCCGGGCUUAACCUGGGAACUGCGCUUGUGACUGCACGGCUAGAGUACGGCAGAGGGUGGUGGAAUUCCACGUGUAGCAGUGAAAUGCGUAGAUAUGUGGAGGAACACCGGUGGCGAAGGCGGCCUUCUGGCCCGGAACUGACGCUCAGGCACGAAAGCUAGGGGAGCGAACGGGAUUAGAAACCCCGGUAGU
RNAcentral lists this ribosomal RNA (271 nucleotides) under uncultured bacterium. RNAcentral's name for it is "partial 16S ribosomal RNA". It matches the Rfam family "Bacterial small subunit ribosomal RNA", at positions 524 to 794 of the family's 1533-position model. The record is from RNAcentral.